RNAcentral lists this long non-coding RNA (241 nucleotides) under Lathyrus oleraceus (garden pea). RNAcentral describes it as "Pisum sativum (pea) long non-coding RNA (PSAT_LNC025760)". Lineage: Eukaryota; Viridiplantae; Streptophyta; Magnoliopsida; Fabales; Fabaceae. The record is from RNAcentral.
AACUCUACACAAUAUCCAUUUCUUUGAUCCCCGUCUUUUUCCUUUUCUUAUAUUUAUCCACAUAAUCAUGAGCCUUUUCUUUGUUUUUUUUUCUUUGCUUUAUGGUUUCAAGGGUGAUUUCUUUUUCUUGUUUCUUUUCAUAUUUUCACCCUUUCAUAAAAACUCACUUUUCCAAGUUUCUAAUCAAAUCUUUUUUCUUUACUCUCCCAAACUUUAGAUUCCAAAACCAAAUUUAUUCAAU